This is a long non-coding RNA of Scylla paramamosain (green mud crab), 1254 nucleotides long. RefSeq lists it as uncharacterized. Lineage: Eukaryota; Metazoa; Arthropoda; Malacostraca; Decapoda; Portunidae. The transcript is spliced from 4 exons. The record is from RefSeq and is a predicted model, not a curated record.
UGCGUCACACUGCUGACAGCAAGCGCCGGGUUAACGUGUAGUGCUGGGCAGUAGGUAGUUGUCUACGAUGGUUUCUUUGUAAUGUGAGUGUACUGGACAAAACUACGGAAAUGGAUGGCAAUGUAGGCAUCACAGAACAGAAACAGACGUGGAGGGUACGACAAUUCACUCACCGGCACAUGCAAGUGAUGAGUCAACCUACUUCAACCUAGGGGAGGUGGCAGAGUGAUUAGUUCCGAGGCUGCGGGAGACAAGCAAGAGGGAAUAUUCUUAAGUUGGACAUUUAACGAGACUUCCUUCUGGCGACGAACCUUCAUUCUUUGUGCUGUCCGUAUGUGGCAUCAGUGGCGACCAAACGCACCAUGUUUUUUUUUGCGACUGAUAAAUGGCGAGCUGGAAUUUAUUAAGCCGGAUGCAGUAAGAGUGGACGUGGGCAUGAACAACCACCAGCAUACAGCGGCGGAGAUGCCUGGCAGCAUUAUGGAGAUCCGUAAGACCAUCAAGGAAAAAGCAGCCGCCGCGGACGUUGUGUGUGUGUGUGUGUGUGUGUGUGUGUGUGUGUGUGUGUGUGUGUGUGUGUGUGUGUGUGUGUGUGUUCCUUUCGUGAGCUACGCAAUCUUUAAUUAUUUUUUUUUUUUUAUUUAAAGUUUGAAAUGGCAAGGAUACUGAAGUUUUUCCUUCAUCUUUUCGGUCGAUUGUUUUGACUUUCCAGACUUGCUUCACGAAGGAACGGUGUCGUAAAACUAGUAUGCUGACGACACUGUUAUCACUCUUACUACCCGAGCGUUCUAAAUGUUGAAACAUAACUCCCUGAAAGCUGUUACCUUUGCCCAAAUCGCAAUUGAUGAUAGUGGAUUCAGGCUGGUGUCUCCUUUCUACCACUGCUGUCUUCAAAGGGGCAUUAUUUUUUGCCCUGAUGAACCAAACAGCAGAUCUUGAGUGCCUAAGGCAAUGAUGGGAUGGUCAUGGCACACAGCUGGCCUGGCGGGAAGAGACAUAUCCUGGGUGUUCUGGAACAUCCAUAAAAAAAAACUCAAGACACCCAGAGUAUCGUGCGAGAUCAGGCUACGUGGUUGAGUAUAAGUGACCUCCACUAUAAUCUACCGUACCCUAUAAUCUACCGUUUAUCGACCACAGAUUCAAGAGGCGAUAUAUAAUAUACAUUAUAAACAGUCAAUACGUGAAAGGUGUUACCAAGAAAAGCAAUGUAUAAUUAUUUUCAUGGUUCAGUGGAUAUAAUAAAAGAGCAUAAUA